AAAGUAAACACCCCAAGUGUCCGGGAACAAAGGCAAGUUGUCUUCCUACGGUGCCGGAGCCGUGUGCCUCUUCUGAAGAAUAAGAGCUAUUAUUAUUCUUUAUGUCUUAUCCUUUUUUUUUUUUUUUUUUUUUUUCAGCCAAGUUUCCUUCUAAGGGAAAUAAACACCAAAGGUAGGAUUCCAAGGAAAUGACUCACGGCGGCUGGCAGGGCUCUGGCGGGGCUGGCCCGGGCCCCCGCGCUCCAGCCCGCAGCAGAUGCCGGCCCGGCCCUCCCUCUCUCGCCGGCCAAGCAGGCUGGAAGCCCGUGGCUGCGGAAGCGCCCUGCGCCCGUGGGACCUGGCGGCGAGGACGCCUCUUGCCUGCUUCUGCGGCCGCAGCCGGGCACUCGGAAAGUUGCUAGGGCCGAAGAGGCGGGAGGGGAAGAAGGGCGGAGAGAAGCGGAGGCGUGGACCAGGCGGGCAGCAGCCUCAGCCCGCCGGGGAGUGAUCCUCCAACUGUGAAAAACCAAACCUCUGGCUGCCUGACUCCCUAGGAAUCAAGAAGCCGCACAGACUGAAAAUCAAGGGAGGAAGGAACAAGAUCAAGGAUGAGGAUUAGCAUCUGCAAAUUGAACUCUAUCUAAUUUGCAUGUUUAUUUCUUAGAAUUGUAAUUAAAUUUGUGUAAUAAAUGUUUCCAUUUCAUUUGUACACUUAAAACUUGGGUGACUGACAUGCAGUUAAGUGAAAUUCCUUUUUUUUUUUUUAAGCAAAUGUAGUUUAUUCAAUAAAGCAGCAAACCAAUAUUAAACAUAAUUAGAA
Non-coding RNA from Saimiri boliviensis boliviensis (Bolivian squirrel monkey), 799 nucleotides. Lineage: Eukaryota; Metazoa; Chordata; Mammalia; Primates; Cebidae. The record is from RefSeq and is a predicted model, not a curated record.